Molecule: long non-coding RNA, 1350 nt
Organism: Dendroctonus ponderosae (mountain pine beetle)
Lineage: Eukaryota; Metazoa; Arthropoda; Insecta; Coleoptera; Curculionidae
Exons: 3
Source: RefSeq, a predicted model, not a curated record
GAGUUUUUCAACAAGAAAACAAAAUGGAAAUGGCUGCUCCAGUUACAUUGACGAUUGAAGAACAGAUGGAUAAAACUAUUUGCAAAGUUUGUUCAACAACAUUUUCUAAGUUUUCCAAUUUAGCAACUCAUAUAAAAAGAAAGCACCCAGCUCCAAAGAAAGCAAGAACUGGGUCAUAUGUAUGCGAAGAAUGUGGAGAAAGAUUUAUUUGUUGGUUAAAAUAGUAACUAUUGUAAUUUUUUUAACAAUUCAUCGAAGUUUUGACAAUAGAAAAUUGUCCAUGAUCAUAUUUAUUUGUAAGUAACAUUAGAGAUAUUACACCUAAAAAAUCAAAUGUGCUUUGUGUGAUAAUUUAAGUGCUAACAAAGCAGAUAUUAUGCUCCAUUACAACAGACAUCAUGACAUCGCUGUGCAUAAUGAAUAUUUAGAGUUUGAUUCACUGCAUGAAUUCCACCUUUGGAAAGGAAAGAUUGAGAAACGAACCUUAUCGUCUUUUGUGAAUAAGCAUGACAUUAAAAAAGCAGCAAAUUCUAACAAAAUUAAAUACGAAUGUCAUCGUUCAGGGAAGUUUAAAACCGAAGGCAAGAAUAUUCGGUUUCUGAAGCAUCAAGGCAGCAAUAAAACAAAUGGUUUCUGUCCAGCUGAAAUGGAAAAGUGGUGUUUGGAGAAACCAAAUGUUCAGUUCAGUUUUGUAAGACACAUGUUAGACAUCAACAAGACAGAGACCUAGAACAUCUUUUUCUUUCAAAAACCGAUAGAGAAAAAAAACUGACAGGAUUUCUGCACAAAUACCAUUCCAAAGUAUUCAGGAUACAAUUAGAUUAGACUUGAACAAAUUCACCUUUUACAGAAACAGGACUUAUAUAAUAUUCAGAAGUCAUUCAACGUAAAUAACUCUGGCAUGUGACAUAAAAAUUAUGCCAUUAGUGUUGAUGCCUGGGUGAAAGAAUCUGAGUCAGUUUUAUAUUAAAAGUCACAGGACAGUUCUUCUGAAUAUGCUGGUGUGAGAGAUGAAAAUUUUAUCUUAAUUACCAUGACUCCUGGACAAAAAGAGCUUUCUGAGGUUUGGCAAUGACUGUGUUUGUAUGGAUGGCACUCAUGGCCUCAAUGGAUAUGAUUUUGAGCUACAUACUUUACUAGUUCUUCAUGAGCUGCGAGAAGGCUAUCCAGGAGCCUUCCUCAUUUCAAAUAAAUGUGAUGGAGCCGUAAUGAAAUGUUUUACUCAGGCAAUUGGACAGCUUAAACAUUUAUGUCUGAUAUGGCAGAGGCUUAUUAUACGGCUUGGAUCAACAUCAUGCAACAACCAGAAUUCCGGUAAGCUAAUAAAUAAUUCCAAAUAGUUGUUUUCUU